This 497-nucleotide ribosomal RNA is filed under the name uncultured bacterium. RNAcentral describes it as "partial 16S ribosomal RNA". It matches the Rfam family "Bacterial small subunit ribosomal RNA", at positions 28 to 507 of the family's 1533-position model. The record is from RNAcentral.
GAUGAACGCUGGCGGCGUGCCUAAUACAUGCAAGUCGAGCGAACAGAUGAGGAGCUUGCUCCUCUGACGUUAGCGGCGGACGGGUGAGUAACACGUGGAUAACCUACCUAUAAGACUGGGAUAACUUCGAGAAACCGGAGCUAAUACCGGAUAAUAUAUUGAACCGCAUGGUUCAAUAGUGAAAGACGGUUUUGCUGUCACUUAUAGAUGGAUCCGCGCCGCAUUAGCUAGUUGGUAAGGUAACGGCUUACCAAGGCAACGAUGCGUAGCCGACCUGAGAGGGUGAUCGGCCACACUGGAACUGAGACACGGUCCAGACUCCUACGGGAGGCAGCAGUAGGGAAUCUUCCGCAAUGGGCGAAAGCUUGACGGAGCAACGCCGCGUGAGUGAUGAAGGUCUUCGGAUCGUAAAACUCUGUUAUUAGGGAAGAACAAAUGUGUAAGUAACUAUGCACGUCUUGACGGUACCUAAUCAGAAAGCCACGGCUAACUACGUG